Molecule: small nucleolar RNA, 214 nt
Organism: Sorex fumeus (smoky shrew)
Lineage: Eukaryota; Metazoa; Chordata; Mammalia; Eulipotyphla; Soricidae
Product: small nucleolar RNA U3
Exons: 1
Source: RefSeq, a predicted model, not a curated record
AUGACUAUACUUUCAGAGAUCAGUUCUAUAGUUUGUUGCUAGAGAGGUUUCUCUGAUACAGUAGAGCACUUGAAACCACGUGGAAGAGCUAAAGUAUCCUCUCCUGAUCAUGAAGCUGGUUCUAGACAUUGCUUUUGCAACUGCCUUUUGCCAUUGAUGGCCAUUCUUUUCUUCCUUUCCAAGAGUGAGAGGUAGAGGAUGAAGUCUGAGUGUU